UACGAAAGGUGCGAGCGUUAAUCGGAAUUACUGGGCGUAAAGCGUGCGUAGGCGUCUAUUUAAGUCGGAUGUGAAAGCCCCGGGCUCAACCUGGGAAUUGCAUUUAGAACUGGCAAGCUAGAGUAGGGUAGAGGGGUGUGGAAUUCCAGGUGUAGCGGUGAAAUGCGUAGAUAUCUGGAGGAACAUCAGUGGCGAAGGCGGCACCCUGGACUCAUACUGACACUGAGGUGCGAAAGCGUGGGGAGCAAACAGG
Molecule: ribosomal RNA, 253 nt
Filed under: uncultured bacterium
Lineage: Bacteria
Description: partial 16S ribosomal RNA
Rfam family: Bacterial small subunit ribosomal RNA
Source: RNAcentral